This 831-nucleotide ribosomal RNA is filed under the name bacterium PGV058. Its description in RNAcentral is "bacterial SSU rRNA". It matches the Rfam family "Bacterial small subunit ribosomal RNA", at positions 111 to 937 of the family's 1533-position model. The record is from RNAcentral.
UAAUAUAUCGGAACGUACCCUGGAGUGGGGGAUAACGUAUCGAAAGUUACGCUAAUACCGCAUACGAUCUAAGGAUGAAAGUGGGGGAUCGCAAGACCUCAUGCUCGUGGAGCGGCCGAUAUCUGAUUAGCUAGUUGGUAGGGUAAAAGCCUACCAAGGCAUCGAUCAGUAGCUGGUCUGAGAGGACGACCAGCCACACUGGAACUGAGACACGGUCCAGACUCCUACGGGAGGCAGCAGUGGGGAAUUUUGGACAAUGGGCGAAAGCCUGAUCCAGCAAUGCCGCGUGAGUGAAGAAGGCCUUCGGGUUGUAAAGCUCUUUUGUCAGGGAAGAAACGGUGAGAGCUAAUAUCUCUUGCUAAUGACGGUACCUGAAGAAUAAGCACCGGCUAACUACGUGCCAGCAGCCGCGGUAAUACGUAGGGUGCAAGCGUUAAUCGGAAUUACUGGGCGUAAAGCGUGCGCAGGCGGUUUUGUAAGUCUGAUGUGAAAUCCCCGGGCUCAACCUGGGAAUUGCAUUGGAGACUGCAAGGCUAGAAUCUGGCAGAGGGGGGUAGAAUUCCACGUGUAGCAGUGAAAUGCGUAGAUAUGUGGAGGAACACCGAUGGCGAAGGCAGCCCCCUGGGUCAAGAUUGACGCUCAUGCACGAAAGCGUGGGGAGCAAACAGGAUUAGAUACCCUGGUAGUCCACGCCCUAAACGAUGUCUACUAGUUGUCGGGUCUUAAUUGACUUGGUAACGCAGCUAACGCGUGAAGUAGACCGCCUGGGGGAGUACGGUCGCAAGAUUAAAACUCAAAGGAAUUGACGGGGGACCCGCACAAGCGGUGGAU